AAAUAACACUAUUUGACACGUCACGUAAGCUUCUUUACCAAUCUGCACCUGCAUAUGACCCCACGUCACAUAAUAAUUUAACACUUUGUACGUAGUUUAUUACACAUUGAUUACACUCUCACUCUAUUUCAUACGUCACAACGAUUCACCGAUACGUGUCGCUAUGAGUCAUAGAUUUUGUCACCGAUGAUAACAUUUGCAUAAAGGCCAUUUGGACUCCGCCCAAGUCUCAGGUACUGAUGAAAGACAUUCACUCAACUUCUGUUCUCCCGAGGUAAAAAAAAAUCAAUGGCUGCCCAAUUUCUGGAAGAUCGUAAAUCUACCAUCUCUGAUUUGCACCAGACUGCUGCUCACGGACAGAAGAGAUGGACUUCAACCAUCAAUAGCCCGUAUCCUAUCAAGCGUCUUUGGAGGGAAGGUGGUAUCACAUCACCAAGGAGCAGCUUGAGGUGGAGGAUUGUUAUCCAUGGUGCUGUGGAUGGUUACAGCAGACUUGUUGGGUUUCUGAAGGCCUCUGACAACAACAGGAGUGCCACAGUCAUGGAUGUCAUUCGAAGCAGCCAUCACCAGCUACGGAGUACCAUCCCGGGUGAGAUGUGACCCGGGUGGUGAAAACAACCGUAUCUGUGCCUUCAUGGAGCAAUUCAGGGGUGGUGAGAGGGGAAGUGCCCUCAGAGGAAGGAGCACACAACCAGAGGAUAGAGUGGCUGUAGGGGGACGUCUGGCAUGGAGUCUCCAACGUUUACCAUGACCUGUUCACCUUCUUGGAGACGGAGCAGAUCAUCGACAUCAACAAUGGGGUGGACCUGUGGGCACUGCACUUUGUGUUCCAGCCACGGAUGAACAGAGAUCUUGCUGUGUUUGCCAGUCAGGGGACCCACCAUGGGCUGAGGACUGAACAACGGCAGUCACCUCUGCAGUUGUUCGUCUCGGGCUCCCUGGCAAUGCAGAGGGCCAAUCUGACAGCUGUAAGGGAUUUGUUUGCCCCAAAUUCAACCACCAUCAGCUCUCAAGCCACCACCUCAGCUCCUCCUCCAACAACCAUCACCUCAGCGCCUCCUCCAACCACCACCUCAGCUCCUCCUCCAACAACCAUCACCUCAGCGCCUCCUCCAACCACCACCUCAGCUCCUCCUCCAACAACCACCACCUCAGCUCCUCCUCCAACAACCAUCACCUCAGCGCCUCCUCCAACCACUGGCGCCGCAGCUAUUUAUUGGUCGGAAUGGGUGAUUGUGCCACAAACCCAGUUCACCAUCAGCAACACACAGAUGGAGCUGUUGUGGACAAUAAUUCAAUUGGAAGUCCCCAGAGGCAGCCUGGGAGUUGACAUUCUACAGAGGGUUAUGGCAGUUAUAUCUUCAGCGCCACUCGUUCCUACUUCAACCUGAUUUAUACUCCCCUACUGGGAUGAGGGAUUGGAUGCUAUAUCUUCAGCUCCACUCCUUCCUUUGAAUCAGUUCAUUUUUAUAAUACUAUUAUACAUUUUAUAAUACUAACAUUCCCCCUCUCACACACUGUAUGAUUUGGUCUCUAGAAAGGUGCGACAGACAUUUACAACUCUAAACAGAUGGGGACCAGAGUUUAGACACAGUAUAACACGACCCAGGAGAGGCCUACUGCAAGCACUGGAUUAGAGCCUUCAGAGCGCGCCUGCUGUGGGAGGACAACAGAACAUUCUGAAUGGACAUUAUUAAAACAGAACUUGCAUUUUUGUAAUGCCCAAUCGGGACUUUUAUAAAUUGUUAAAAUAAAUGUGUGGAGAAAGCCCUAUAGUUAAAAAAAAUAAUUUAAAAAAACUAUGAAGAUAGGGAUUCGGCUCCCGUUACAUUUUAUAUCUUUGUGAUUAACAGCAACCGAUUACAGUUACUAACAUAACAUUGUUGACACAUUGUGGCAGCUCAAAUGAUGUGGUUGAAGAUGGACUAGUGCAGGGCUCUCCAACCCUGUACCUGGAGAGCUACUGUCUUGUAAGUUCACUCCAACCCUAAUCUAGUGCACCUGAUUUGAAUAAUUACCUGCUUAAUAAAUUAAUCAGGUUAGUUACAAUUGAGGUUGGAUUGAAAACCUACAGGAGGGCAGCUCUCCAGGAACAAGGUUGGAGAGCUUUGGACUAAUGGAUCUAGUUCUUAGAUCAAUGCAUUUGAAAUUCGAUAAGUUACUACGAAGGUGCAGUUCCCAGAAGUGGAGCUGUCACUUAAUACAGUGGAUGGGAAGUCUUAUUUCAUGUAGUUCUAAUUAAAUGAUUGUUGAAGUUUAUUGUUCUUAAUGUAGGACAUCAAAUUAUCAGAUUUGGAUGAGUUGGCUGCGAUAUGGCAGGAGUACUUCAGUCAAUAUCAGCAAAGGAUAUUGGUUAUUAGUGAAGUGUCAGUAAAGUGUUUCUAAAAAAUAAAAAAAACGCCAAGACAAGCAAUAUGGAUUGUAAUAAUUUAAUUUUAAAGGAUCAUUAAGUGCACAAUAACAGCCGAUAUGGAAAUACAGUGCAUUUGGAAAGUAUUCAGACCCCCUUGACUUUUUCCACAUUUUGUUACAUUAGAG
This is a long non-coding RNA of Oncorhynchus tshawytscha (Chinook salmon), 2538 nucleotides long. The record is from Ensembl. NCBI's taxonomy places the organism in Eukaryota, Metazoa, Chordata, Actinopteri, Salmoniformes, Salmonidae.